GCGCAUUUUUCAAAUCGAGGACGAGGAAGAGAAAAUAUUAAUGUUGGUUGCGAGAUAUAGAAGAAGAAGAAGAAGAAGAAUAACAUACAGAAGAAAGAAGAGAGAAUAUUUCCACAGCUCCACAAGCUCUUUUCGCGAUUGGCGAAAGCGUCAUAUUUGAAAUGUAUCAAGGAAUGACACAGAGACCUCUGACUCUGAGCUAGACAGUGAGCCAGAGCUGCCAGGAGAUGUCAUCGAGUCCCUCCCAACUGCGUCAAGCACCAGAUAUGCUGUUCCAAAAGGACCCAAUGAACCUGGGUGAAGGACGGCACCACGGCAGACGCCGAGUCCGACAGACCCUCCUUCUUCUUGCCUCGAACCUUGUCCUUGAACUUGCCCAGGCGGGAGCGCGGCUUGUCUGUAGCAGAGAGGUCGAACAUGCUGGCUGUCAGGUUGUUCUUCAUAAACUGGAUGUCCACCAGCACCUCUCCCCUGUCUUUGUCUGGCUUGCCUGCCUUAUCCAACAGCUUAUGCCAUCUGUUGAGAGAUAAACAAUAGACUACCAAAUAGUUUCAUUGAAUUGGUACGAAACACAUGCUGUUCUUAUCGGAGAGAUGGCUCAUGAACAAGGUCUAUGAAUGUGAGGCAGUGAAAGAAAGAACCAAGGUAAUGUUUUAUUUGUUUAGAUGUCUACUGAGCUCCUCCAAUAACUUGUAAGGGCACUCAGAAAUAACUAGAAAUGUGUAGGCAUUCACCACUCUUUUCAGAUAACGCACACUUAGCAGACUGAUCUGUCUGAACAACCACAGCAUGCAUAAGCAGAGGAAGGCUGAUGAUCAAAUAAGUGUCAUGUGUUCAUCAGUCCCUGGGCCUCACCUCCAGUUCUAAAAAAUAUAUAGUGUCUACAUGUUGUUAGCUAUCACAAAUAAAGAAAGCGGUCACCCAUCGCAUGGCUUUA
Molecule: long non-coding RNA, 937 nt
Organism: Oncorhynchus tshawytscha (Chinook salmon)
Lineage: Eukaryota; Metazoa; Chordata; Actinopteri; Salmoniformes; Salmonidae
Exons: 3
Source: RefSeq, a predicted model, not a curated record